AACCCAUGAUGAGGGCACCGUCUCAAUAGAUCCUUGCAUCUUUCGCAUGCAUCUUAUAAAGUCUCUAAAUCGAUCUGAACAAAGGAAGAGAUUUCAUUCCUCAACUU
This is a non-coding RNA of Gossypium raimondii (Peruvian cotton), 107 nucleotides long. The record is from Rfam. NCBI's taxonomy places the organism in Eukaryota, Viridiplantae, Streptophyta, Magnoliopsida, Malvales, Malvaceae.